This 110-nucleotide ribosomal RNA is filed under the name Fukomys damarensis (Damara mole-rat). Lineage: Eukaryota; Metazoa; Chordata; Mammalia; Rodentia; Bathyergidae. The record is from RNAcentral.
GUCUGUGGCCAUAGCACCCCGAAGGCACCCGAUCUUGUCUGGUCUCAGGAACUAAGCAGGAUUGGGCCUGGUUUGUACUUAGAUGGGAGAAAAUGUGGGUGCUCUGUGCA